RNAcentral lists this ribosomal RNA (754 nucleotides) under uncultured Pseudoxanthomonas sp. RNAcentral's name for it is "bacterial SSU rRNA". It matches the Rfam family "Bacterial small subunit ribosomal RNA", at positions 28 to 767 of the family's 1533-position model. Lineage: Bacteria; Pseudomonadati; Pseudomonadota; Gammaproteobacteria; Lysobacterales; Lysobacteraceae. The record is from RNAcentral.
AGUGAACGCUGGCGGUAGGCCUAACACAUGCAAGUCGAACGGCAGCACAGGAGAGCUUGCUCUCUGGGUGGCGAGUGGCGGACGGGUGAGGAAUACAUCGGAAUCUACCUUGUCGUGGGGGAUAACGUAGGGAAACUUACGCUAAUACCGCAUACGACCUUCGGGUGAAAGUGGGGGACCUGCAAGGCCUCACGCGAUUAGAUGAGCCGAUGUCGGAUUAGCUAGUUGGCGGGGUAAAAGCCCACCAAGGCGACGAUCCGUAGCUGGUCUGAGAGGAUGAUCAGCCACACUGGAACUGAGACACGGUCCAGACUCCUACGGGAGGCAGCAGUGGGGAAUAUUGGACAAUGGGCGCAAGCCUGAUCCAGCCAUACCGCGUGGGUGAAGAAGGCCUUCGGGUUGUAAAGCCCUUUUGUUGGGAAAGCAAAUCUUGCCAGGUUAAUACCUGGCGAGCGAUGACGGUACCCAAAGAAUAAGCACCGGCUAACUUCGUGCCAGCAGCCGCGGUAAUACGAAGGGUGCAAGCGUUACUCGGAAUUACUGGGCGUAAAGCGUGCGUAGGUGGUGGUUUAAGUCUGCUGUGAAAGCCCUGGGCUCAACCUGGGAAUUGCAGUGGAUACUGGGUCACUAGAGUGUGGUAGAGGGAUGCGGAAUUUCCGGUGUAGCAGUGAAAUGCGUAGAGAUCGGAAGGAACAUCCGUGGCGAAGGCGGCAUCCUGGGCCAACACUGACACUGAGGCACGAAAGCGUGGGGA